CAGGGGGAUAACCCGCGGAAACGCGGCCUAAUACCCCGUGACGCCACCGGAGGGCAUCCUCCGGUGACCAAAGGAGCGAUCCGGUGGCGGAUGGGCAUGCGGCGCAUUAGCUAGACGGCGGGGUGACGGCCCACCGUGGCGACGAUGCGUAGGGGUUCUGAGAGGAAGGCCCCCCACACUGGGACUGAGACACGGCCCAGACUCCUACGGGAGGCAGCAGUGAGGAAUAUUGGUCAAUGGGCGGAAGCCUGAACCAGCCAAGUCGCGUGAGGGAUUAAGGCCCUGCGGGUCGUAAACCUCUUUUGCCGGGGAGCAGUGGUCCGGACGCGUCCGGACCGGGAGAGUACCCGGAGAAAAAGCAUCGGCUAACUCCGUGCCAGCAGCCGCGGUAAUACGGAGGAUGCGAGCGUUAUCCGGAUUUAUUGGGUUUAAAGGGUGCGUAGGCGGGCAUUUAAGCCGGCGGUCAAAUGUCGGGGCUCAACCCCGGCCUGCCGUCGGAACUGGGUGCCUUGAGUGGGCGAGAAGUAUGCGGAAUGCGUGGUGUAGCGGUGAAAUGCAUAGAUAUCACGCAGAACCCCGAUUGCGAAGGCAGCAUACCGGCGCCCUACUGACGCUGAGGCACGAAAGUGCGGGUAUCGAACAGGAUUAGAUACCCUGGUAGUCCGCACAGUAAACGAUGGAUGAUGUCUGUCCGGGCCGAAUGAGGCCUGGGUGGCACAG
This 720-nucleotide ribosomal RNA is filed under the name uncultured bacterium. RNAcentral's name for it is "bacterial SSU rRNA". It matches the Rfam family "Bacterial small subunit ribosomal RNA", at positions 136 to 851 of the family's 1533-position model. The record is from RNAcentral.